This 406-nucleotide ribosomal RNA is filed under the name uncultured bacterium. RNAcentral's name for it is "partial 16S ribosomal RNA". It matches the Rfam family "Bacterial small subunit ribosomal RNA", at positions 30 to 526 of the family's 1533-position model. The record is from RNAcentral.
AUUGAACGCUGGCGGCAGGCCUAACACAUGCAAGUCGAGCGAGUGGCGGACGGGUGAGUAAUGUCUGGGGAACUGCCUGAUAGAGGGGGAUAACUACUGGAAACGGUAGCUAAUACCGCAUACCAUCGGAUGUGCCCAUAUGGGAUUAGCUAGUAGGUGGGGUAAAGGCUCACCUAGGCGACGAUCCCUAGCUGGUCUGAGAGGAUGACCAGCCACACUGGAACUGAGACACGGUCCAGACUCCGACGGGAGGCAGCAGUGGGGAAUAUUGCACAAUGGGCGCAAGCCGGAUGCAGCCAUGCCGCGUGUAUGAAGAAGGCCUUAGGGUUGUAAAGUACUUUCAGCGGGGAGGCGUUACCCGCAGAAGAAGCACCGGCUAACUCCGUGCCAGCAGCCGCGGUAAUAC